RNAcentral lists this ribosomal RNA (500 nucleotides) under uncultured Desulfobulbus sp. Its description in RNAcentral is "bacterial SSU rRNA". It matches the Rfam family "Bacterial small subunit ribosomal RNA", at positions 904 to 1382 of the family's 1533-position model. The record is from RNAcentral. Lineage: Bacteria; Pseudomonadati; Thermodesulfobacteriota; Desulfobulbia; Desulfobulbales; Desulfobulbaceae.
CCCGCUCAGAAACUUCAAUGAAUUGACGGGGAGGCGCACAACCAGUGGAGCAUGUGGUUUAAUUCGAUACGAAGCGAAGAACCUUACCUGGUCUUGACAUCCCGGAGACCCUUAGGAAACUAGGGGGUGCUUCCAUCUGGAAGAAUCUGGAGACAGGUGCUGCAUGGCUGUCGUCAGCUCGUGUCGUGAGAUGUUGGGUUAAGUCCCGCAACGAGCGCAACCCUUGCCUUUAGUUGCCAGCAGUUCGGCUGGGCACUCUAAAGGGACUGCCGGUGUUAAACCGGAGGAAGGUGGGGAUGACGUCAAGUCCUCAUGGCCUUUAUGACCAGGGCUACACACGUACUACAAUGGCCGAUACAAAGGGCAGCGACACUGCGAGGUGAAGCCAAUCCCGUAAAAUCGGUCUCAGUCCGGAUUGGAGUCUGCAACUCGACUCCAUGAAGUUGGAAUCGCUAGUAAUCGUGGAUCAGCAUGCCACGGUGAAUACGUUCCCGGGCCUU